Molecule: ribosomal RNA, 497 nt
Filed under: uncultured bacterium
Lineage: Bacteria
Description: partial 16S ribosomal RNA
Rfam family: Bacterial small subunit ribosomal RNA
Source: RNAcentral
GAUGAACGCUGGCGGCGUGCCUAAUACAUGCAAGUCGAGCGAACAGACGAGGAGCUUGCUCCUCUGACGUUAGCGGCGGACGGGUGAGUAACACGUGGAUAACCUACCUAUAAGACUGGGAUAACUUCGGGAAACCGGAGCUAAUACCGGAUAAUAUAUCGAACCGCAUGGUUCAAUAGUGAAAGACGGUUUUGCUGUCACUUAUAGAUGGAUCCGCGCCGCAUUAGCUAGUUGGUAAGGUAACGGCUUACCAAGGCGACGAUGCGUAGCCGACCUGAGAGGGUGAUCGGCCACACUGGAACUGAGACACGGUCCAGACUCCUACGGGAGGCAGCAGUAGGGAAUCUUCCGCAAUGGGCGAAAGCCUGACGGAGCAACGCCGCGUGAGUGAUGAAGGUCUUCGGAUCGUAAAACUCUGUUAUUAGGGAAGAACAAAUGUGUAAGUAACUAUGCACGUCUUGACGGUACCUAAUCAGAAAGCCACGGCUAGCUACGUG